ACCUGCCGAAAGGCAGACUAAUACCGCAUAGUCUUCGAUGACGGCAUCAGAUUUGAAGUAAAGAUUUAUCGGUAAUGGAUGGGGAUGCGUCUGAUUAGCUUGUUGGCGGGGUAACGGCCCACCAGGGCGACGAUCAGUAGGGGUUCUGAGAGGAAGGUCCCCCACCAUUGGAACUGAGACACGGUCCAA
Molecule: ribosomal RNA, 189 nt
Filed under: uncultured Bacteroidales bacterium
Lineage: Bacteria; Pseudomonadati; Bacteroidota; Bacteroidia; Bacteroidales
Description: partial 16S ribosomal RNA
Rfam family: Bacterial small subunit ribosomal RNA
Source: RNAcentral